AAAUCGUGCAUUGGGCAUUUACGCAGUAAGUCCUUAAAACGAUCUCAUGCCUUAUACAAGUUUUCAUCCUCCAAUUGCUUGAAAGAUGUCAGAUCAUUCCUUAGUUU
This is a small nucleolar RNA of Hibiscus syriacus, 107 nucleotides long. The record is from RefSeq and is a predicted model, not a curated record. NCBI's taxonomy places the organism in Eukaryota, Viridiplantae, Streptophyta, Magnoliopsida, Malvales, Malvaceae.